UUGGGAAUACAACCCAAAUCAGACGGUGAAUUUCAUCUUAGGCUAAAUACAGGAGAGAGACCGAUAACGAAUAAGUACCACGAAAGAAAUAUUAAAAGGACUUUAAAAAUAGAGUCAAAGAGUGCUUGAAAUUAUUGGGAGGGAAGCAGAUGGAAGCUGACGAUACACCCUGGUCAGAUUUGGAAUGGUGACGAGCUGGUUCGUCGAUCGACUCGGGGAGUGGACCAGCGUGGAUUAGGGGGGCGGUCAAAGCCC
RNAcentral lists this non-coding RNA (255 nucleotides) under Solanum tuberosum (potato). Its description in RNAcentral is "Eukaryotic large subunit ribosomal RNA". It matches the Rfam family "Eukaryotic large subunit ribosomal RNA", at positions 274 to 527 of the family's 3401-position model. Lineage: Eukaryota; Viridiplantae; Streptophyta; Magnoliopsida; Solanales; Solanaceae. The record is from Rfam by way of RNAcentral.